Molecule: unclassified non-coding RNA, 430 nt
Filed under: soil metagenome
Description: partial contains 5.8S ribosomal RNA, internal transcribed spacer 2, and large subunit ribosomal RNA
Rfam family: 5.8S ribosomal RNA (bases 1-120)
Source: RNAcentral
GAUGAAGAACGUAGCGAAAUGCGAUACGUAAUGUGAAUUGCAGAAUUCAGUGAAUCAUCGAAUCUUUGAACGCAUAUUGCGCUCUCUGGUAUUCCGGAGAGCAUGCUUGUUUGAGUAUCAGUAAACACCUCAACUCCCUUUUCUUUUUUGAAAUUGGAGCUGGACUUGAGUGAUCCCAACGCUUUCUUCCAAGAAAGUGGCGGGUUGCUUGAAAUGCAGGUGCAGCUGAACUUUUCUCUGAGCUAUAAGCAUAUCUAUUUAGUCUGCCUAAAAAACAGAUUAUUACCUUUGCUGCAGCUAACAUAAAGGAGACUAGUUCUUGUGCUGACUGAUGCAGGAUUCACAGAGACAGCUUCGGCUGGCUUUGUAAACUCGAUCUCAAAUCAAGUAAGACUACCCGCUGAACUUAAGCAUAUCAAUAAGCGGAGGA